Podarcis lilfordi (Lilford's wall lizard) is the source of this 107-nucleotide non-coding RNA. The record is from the annotation of a GenBank genome assembly. Lineage: Eukaryota; Metazoa; Chordata; Lepidosauria; Squamata; Lacertidae.
AGAGAAGUUUGUUUGGGGUAUACGCUUUCAUGUACAUGCACACUUCAUCAGUAUCUGAAGAAGUGUGCAUGCACACGAAAGCUUAUACCCAGAACAAACUUAGUUGG